Molecule: ribosomal RNA, 280 nt
Filed under: Pterosagitta draco
Lineage: Eukaryota; Metazoa; Chaetognatha; Sagittoidea; Aphragmophora; Pterosagittidae
Description: partial 28S ribosomal RNA
Source: RNAcentral
UGAGGGAAAGCUGCAAAGUACUCUGAAGAGAGAGUUCAAAAGGACGUGAAGCCGUCUGCAGGGAAACGGGUGAGACCGCACGGUAGACCCGCGGCGGAUUCAGCUCCGGGGGCAACCUCGGGGUGCACUUCCGCGCCUGCGGGUCGCGCAGGGCCCGACUCGACGGCCGUCUGAAGCCCGGCGAGGAGGUGACGGGGUUCUUCGGAUCUCCGAGUUUAACUCGUCGGCGCGGAGACCGGCUGUUGGGUCGAGGAACGUCCAUCCGUCUUUGACGCGUGGG